GCGGCCCUCGGGGGCGAAGGCCGGGGGUGGGAGGGGGAGAGGACCCCGCCGCCGUGACCCGCGUCAGCACCCGGGACCCGGGCCUGACCCCGGCUCCUGGGAAGGCGGCUCCCCCCAGGGGCACGAACGGAGGCACCGAGCAGCAGCUCAGGGCGUCCGCGACGCCGGGACCGCCUAGGGCCCGGGACCGCGGGCGGCUGACAGCCGCUGUCACCACAGCCGCCGCCCGGCGGUGCGGCGCAGCCCGCGGUCUCCUUCAGCUCGCCCGCCCGCCCGCGCUCCAGGCGGCCCGCGGCGCCCUCCCCGCUCCGCCCGGCUGCGGCCGCGGACACUACCUCUGGAAGCGGCCACCCGCACACUCGGCUGCCGCACCUCAGACUGCCACCCAGGGCCGCACAAACACACUGGGCUGUUUACCCCUCCACUCCUGCCUGGCUUUGGCUGGGGCUGCUCCCCAGGACCUCCGCUGGCGGACACCCCAGCCAGGCACACUGGCCGAGCCACACCCUCGGGAGGGCUGCUGGUGCUUACCACCGGAGGCCGUGGCUUCGCCAGGGACGUGGGUGGGCGCCGCCACCUCACACAGCAGCAGUGACCAGUCUGUGCCUCACGUUGGAUCAGGAGCUUCCCUUUCCAGAAACCUCCAUCACCUAUUUUGAAGGAAAGGACAUGCUCCGGCGACUUCAGAAACGGAAGCUUCUGGCUGGGACGUGAGAACCACGUGUUCUACGCCAAAGUCACAUCCCAACGAGGUCCUGGUGUCAUGUCCAAACCCAGGCCUGACACUGAGUGACCCUGGUGCAUUUCACACGAUAAGAAAUCCCCAAGUUUCCUGCAAGAAUCCUUAACACAGAAAGAGAAGUAGCCAGUCUCUCCGUUUUGAAACACAAAGUUAAGGACAGAACACCCACCCAGAUGAACACGUGGGUGCAAGCCGUGCCCCCACCACAGACGGGAGGCUGAGAGAGCAGCCGGAGCACCCGGCGCCGCCCCACACACCGGAUGCGCUGACCGAGGGCCCGCCCACGCUGAUGCUCACUGUGUUGGACUCGUCCGAGAUGCUGUCGCUAAGAUUACUCGCCAGCAAAUACAACAAAGGACCGAAUUGAAAAUUAAUUUAAUGCUUUGCUAAAGCUUAAUUACAUAUAAUUAUCAAACAAGUCCUAAUUUCCAAAAAGUUCCUCUUUUGAAAAUCACAGAUCAGAAGGCGUAAACUUUAAAACAAGUUCUCCGAAUACUUACAGCGUGGCAUAAACAUGGUAGAAGACCUUGGAUAUUGAAUUGCCAGGGUGUGUGGUGGACCAGCAAGGCAUGUUCUUUAUUGCAUAUGUGACGCACGCAUGUGGGGGUUCAAGUGCACAGACCACCAACUUCAAAUGCAUGCACUUGUAAGCUGGCCGGGGAGGGAAAUCGUAACGAGACGGGACAGUCAGCCCAAAACCCUGCAGCUGGACUAUGGGUCUAUUAUUUCCAAAAACGAAAACUUCCACGUGCUUUUAAAAACCUGUGCUGCGCACAGCAGUGGAGUCCACAGGAGACCCCCAGUGGGCUGCGACCCGACCCGGGGAAGGAGGCGCGCCAUGCGCCCAGGGCCGCAGCCCGUGUGCUCGCAGGGUUAAGGCAGCAGGCGACAGCGACUGCUAACUGGGAGGGAGGACGCCGGGUCACUGGCCAGCCCUUUGUUCAGCAGUGGAGCGAUGUUCCUAAGACGUUUGCUAUGGAGUAAUCCUCUGCUGUUAAAAGACUUGCUCUGUAGAAAAACCCCCGAUUUCCGGUGCGAGAGGACCUCCAUGGCGGCAGAGAGAGACGCAUACAUGACACCGCUGGGACAGUGCGCAGAGAACCAGCGGGGAGGCUGUGGGUACCAGGCACAGAAAAUGCUUCCGCGAC
Molecule: long non-coding RNA, 1890 nt
Organism: Artibeus jamaicensis (Jamaican fruit-eating bat)
Lineage: Eukaryota; Metazoa; Chordata; Mammalia; Chiroptera; Phyllostomidae
Exons: 4
Source: RefSeq, a predicted model, not a curated record